UUUUUAUUUAUUUUAUUUAUUUAGAUCUUGUUUUCCUUCAUUUUCGUUCGUUCUUCUCCUACCUCUCUGGAUUUCUUGUUUUCUUAUUUCUCAAAUUUCUCUCUUUCUUUACAAAAAUGGCUAACACCACCACAACCACCACCAGCCUCAGCAACAGCGAGGAAUCGAGUCCUCUCUUGAACAAGAACCUCCAAGAACAUGACGAGGAACCCACUAAGAUUUCCGACACCAAAGUCGCCGCACCUCCCAUGGAGAAGAAGAA
Molecule: unclassified non-coding RNA, 262 nt
Filed under: Hevea brasiliensis (rubber tree)
Lineage: Eukaryota; Viridiplantae; Streptophyta; Magnoliopsida; Malpighiales; Euphorbiaceae
Source: RNAcentral